CUACGUCGCAGCAGCCGCGGUAAUACGUAGGUGGCAGCGUUAUCCGGAUUUAUUGGGCGUAAAGAGAGUGCAGGCGGUUUUUCUAAGUCUGAUGUGAAAGCCUUCGGCUUAACCGGAGAAGUGCAUCGGAAACUGGAUAACUUGAGUGCAGAAGAGGGUAGUGGAACUCCAUGUGUAGCGGUGGAAUGCGUAGAUAUAUGGAAGAACACCAGUGGCGAAGGCGGCUACCUGGUCUGCAACUGACGCUGAGACUCGAAAGCAUGGGUAGCGAACAGGAUUAGAUACCCCUGGUAG
RNAcentral lists this ribosomal RNA (294 nucleotides) under uncultured bacterium. Its description in RNAcentral is "partial 16S ribosomal RNA". It matches the Rfam family "Bacterial small subunit ribosomal RNA", at positions 501 to 793 of the family's 1533-position model. The record is from RNAcentral.